RNAcentral lists this ribosomal RNA (426 nucleotides) under uncultured bacterium. RNAcentral's name for it is "bacterial SSU rRNA". It matches the Rfam family "Bacterial small subunit ribosomal RNA", at positions 354 to 796 of the family's 1533-position model. The record is from RNAcentral.
GUGGGGAAUAUUGCACAAUGGGGGAAACCCUGAUGCAGCGACGCCGCGUGAGCGAAGAAGUAUUUCGGUAUGUAAAGCUCUAUCAGCAGGGAAGAAAAAUGACGGUACCUGAGUAAGAAGCACCGGCUAAAUACGUGCCAGCAGCCGCGGUAAUACGUAUGGUGCAAGCGUUAUCCGGAUUUACUGGGUGUAAAGGGAGCGCAGGCGGUGCGGCAAGUCUGAUGUGAAAGCCCGGGGCUCAACCCCGGGACUGCAUUGGAAACUACCGUACUAGAGUGUCGGAGAGGUAAGUGGAAUUCCUAGUGUAGCGGUGAAAUGCGUAGAUAUUAGGAGGAACACCAGUGGCGAAGGCGGCUUACUGGACGAUAACUGACGCUGAGGCUCGAAAGCGUGGGGAGCAAACAGGAUUAGAAACCCGAGUAGUCC